AACGAACGCUGGCGGCAUGCCUAACACAUGCAAGUCGAACGAACCCUUCGGGGUUAGUGGCGCACGGGUGCGUAACGCGUGGGAAUCUGCCCUUUGGUUCGGAAUAACUCAGGGAAACUUGAGCUAAUACCGGAUGAUGACUUCGGUCCAAAGAUUUAUCGCCAAAGGAUGAGCCCGCGUAGGAUUAGCUAGUUGGUGGGGUAAUGGCCCACCAAGGCGACGAUCCUUAGCUGGUCUGAGAGGAUGAUCAGCCACACUGGGACUGAGACACGGCCCAGACUCCUACGGGAGGCAGCAGUGGGGAAUAUUGGACAAUGGGCGAAAGCCUGAUCCAGCAAUGCCGCGUGAGUGAUGAAGGCCUUAGGGUUGUAAAGCUCUUUUACCCGGGAUGAUAAUGACAGUACCGGGAGAAUAAGCUCCGGCUAACUCCGUGCCAGCCGCCGCAGU
This 447-nucleotide ribosomal RNA is filed under the name uncultured bacterium. Its description in RNAcentral is "bacterial SSU rRNA". It matches the Rfam family "Bacterial small subunit ribosomal RNA", at positions 29 to 521 of the family's 1533-position model. The record is from RNAcentral.